UACACGGUGGCAGUGUGGUUAGCUGGUUGUGAAAUUCAACCACGACCACUAUCCAUACUUCCCUCGUGUG
Molecule: non-coding RNA, 70 nt
Organism: Dendroctonus ponderosae (mountain pine beetle)
Lineage: Eukaryota; Metazoa; Arthropoda; Insecta; Coleoptera; Curculionidae
Source: Rfam